CUCCUGGUCUCCAUAGCCAGGAAUACUGCAGAGGCACACCAUCCUUGCCUGAAGUGCGGCGAGCGUAGCUCUCCAAUCCACGGCAGACUUUACCGGAUCCUUUGGCGGCUUACCCCGUCGUCGGGUCUGCAUAUGUCGCGUUUCGCGUUCGCUUCACGUGCGGGGUCUCCAC
Molecule: regulatory RNA element, 172 nt
Organism: Aureimonas sp. Leaf324
Lineage: Bacteria; Pseudomonadati; Pseudomonadota; Alphaproteobacteria; Hyphomicrobiales; Aurantimonadaceae
Rfam family: speF leader
About the family: This family is a putative regulatory RNA structure that is found upstream of the speF gene encoding ornithine decarboxylase in Agrobacterium tumefaciens and other alpha-proteobacteria.
Source: Rfam